This 343-nucleotide unclassified non-coding RNA is filed under the name soil metagenome. RNAcentral's name for it is "partial contains 5.8S ribosomal RNA, internal transcribed spacer 2, and large subunit ribosomal RNA". The stretch from base 1 to 120 matches the Rfam family "5.8S ribosomal RNA", at positions 35 to 154 of the family's 154-position model. The record is from RNAcentral.
GAUGAAGAACGCAGCGAAAUGCGAUAAGUAAUGUGAAUUGCAGAAUUCAGUGAAUCAUCGAAUCUUUGAACGCACAUUGCGCCCGCUAGUAUUCUGGCGGGCAUGCCUGUCCGAGCGUCAUUUCAACCCUCAAGCCCCCGGGCUUGGUGUUGGGGAUCGGCGAGCCUCCGCGCCCGCCGUCCCCUAAAUCUAGUGGCGGUCUCGCUGUAGCUUCCUCUGCGUAGUAGCACACCUCACACUGGGAAACAGCGCGGCCACGCCGUUAAACCCCCAACUUCUGAACGUUUGACCUCGGAUCAGGUAGGAAUACCCGCUGAACUUAAGCAUAUCAAUAAGCGGAGGA